This 406-nucleotide ribosomal RNA is filed under the name uncultured bacterium. RNAcentral's name for it is "partial 16S ribosomal RNA". It matches the Rfam family "Bacterial small subunit ribosomal RNA", at positions 30 to 526 of the family's 1533-position model. The record is from RNAcentral.
AUUGAACGCUGGCGGCAGGCCUAACACAUGCAAGUCGAACGAGCGGCGGACGGGUGAGUAAUGUAUGGGGAACUGCCCGAUGGAGGGGGAUAACUACUGGAAACGGUGGCUAAUACCGCAUACUAUCGGAUGAACCCAUAUGGGAUUAGCUGGUAGGUGGGGUAAAGGCUCACCUAGGCGACGAUCGCUAGCUGGUCUGAGAGGAUGACCGGCCACACUGGAACUGAGACACGGCCCAGACUCCUACGGGAGGCAGCAGUGGGGAAUAUUGCACAAUGGGCGCAAGCCUGAUGCAGCCAUGCCGCGUGUAUGAAGAAGGCCUUCGGGUUGUAAAGUACUUUCAGCUGGGAGGCGUUACCAGCAGAAGAAGCACCGGCUAACUCCGUGCCAGCAGCCGCGGUAAUUC